AGGGAGUGGAACUAAGAGUGAGGGAGAGAAAAUUUGGUUAGCUUCAUCAUCUGCUGAUCAUAAUCAAUAAGAGAAAGGCAAGGAAAAUAGGAGGGAUAGCUGGUGCAGACCUUGAGGAAACAAAGCUGGGAAAAUCUGGUCAGUCUGCAAUUUUUAACUCUUAAAGGAAAGAGGAAGUAGCCGUGAACCAGGAAACCAACUCGAGACUCGAGAGUAGUCAUUUGAAUCUUUGGAGUUGGAGAUUGAAAAGUGAUUGGAUGGAAUUGGAAAGUUGUUUUGGGAAAUUC
Non-coding RNA from Coffea arabica (coffee), 287 nucleotides. The record is from RefSeq and is a predicted model, not a curated record. NCBI's taxonomy places the organism in Eukaryota, Viridiplantae, Streptophyta, Magnoliopsida, Gentianales, Rubiaceae.